Molecule: transfer RNA, 65 nt
Filed under: Phytophthora megakarya
Lineage: Eukaryota; Oomycota; Peronosporomycetes; Peronosporales; Peronosporaceae
Rfam family: tRNA
About the family: Transfer RNA (tRNA) molecules are approximately 80 nucleotides in length. Their secondary structure includes four short double-helical elements and three loops (D, anti-codon, and T loops). Further hydrogen bonds mediate the characteristic L-shaped molecular structure. tRNAs have two regions of fundamental functional importance: the anti-codon, which is responsible for specific mRNA codon recognition, and the 3' end, to which the tRNAs corresponding amino acid is attached (by aminoacyl-tRNA synthetases). tRNAs cope with the degeneracy of the genetic code in two manners: having more than one tRNA (with a specific anti-codon) for a particular amino acid; and 'wobble' base-pairing, i.e. permitting non-standard base-pairing at the 3rd anti-codon position.
Source: Rfam by way of RNAcentral
AUCGAUGUAGCUCAACGGUAGAGCUCCCGAAAGGGAAGUUGGUGGUUCGAUUCCACCCAUCGGUA